RNAcentral lists this ribosomal RNA (654 nucleotides) under uncultured delta proteobacterium. RNAcentral's name for it is "SSU rRNA". It matches the Rfam family "Bacterial small subunit ribosomal RNA", at positions 242 to 913 of the family's 1533-position model. The record is from RNAcentral. Lineage: Bacteria; Deltaproteobacteria.
CAGCCAGUUGGCGGGGUAACGGCCCACCAAAGCGAAGAUCGGUAGCCGGCCUGAGAGGGCGCACGGCCACACUGGAACUGAAACACGGUCCAGACUCCUACGGGAGGCAGCAGUGGGGAAUUUUGCGCAAUGGGGGAAACCCUGACGCAGCAACGCCGCGUGGAGGAUGAAGCCCCUUGGGGCGUAAACUCCUUUCGACCAAGACGAUAAUGACGGUACUGGUGGAAGAAGCACCGGCUAACUCUGUGCCAGCAGCCGCGGUAAUACAGAGGGUGCAAGCGUUGUUCGGAAUUAUUGGGCGUAAAGCGCGUGUAGGCGGCUUUGCAAGUCGGGUGUGAAAGCCCUCGGCUCAACCGAGGAAGUGCGCCCGAAACUGCAGAGCUUGAGUACCGGAGAGGAUGGCGGAAUUCCCCAAGUAGAGGUGAAAUUCGUAGAUAUGGGGAGGAACACCGGUGGCGAAGGCGGCCAUCUGGACGGAUACUGACGCUGAGACACGAAAGCGUGGGGAGCAAACAGGAUUAGAUACCCUGGUAGUCCACGCCGUAACGAUGAGAACUAGGUGUCGUGGGUGUUGACCCCCGCGGUGCCGUAGCCAACGCAUUAAGUUCUCCGCCUGGGAAGUACGGCCGCAAGGCUAAAACUCAAAGGAAUUGA